UGGAUGAGGUCGUCGACCUUUGCACUUCUCGCGUGUUCGCCCGUGUCGAGGCCUCGAAGCGUGUGUCGAGUAAUCAAGGAUGAUUUUUGUGAAACGCGUAUCGAGGAUUGUGUUGUUGACGUUCGAAGUCUCGCGAGCUAGCCAAACCCCUCACGUGCACUUGUCUUGUGUGUUUGCUUGCAAUAUAUUCGACCUUCUGUUUUUUGCGAUAGAACCAGCGAGGUAGAGAAGAUGUCCCCCUGUCUGGGAACACUUUGAGCUGAUCUCUCCUAAUAAGGUGAAGUGUCUGUUGUGUUUACAAGAACUCGGAUACAACCAUACCACCUCGUCCAAGCUGAGGCAUUAUAGAGCGCUGCAUGAGAACAUGGAGACCGACCGAGGUGGACCAAGCUCAGGUCUGAAGAAUGAUGUGGAGGAGGCCUUGAUGAAUAUGGGGAUUGAGGAUUCUCAGCCCUUCACUAUUGUGGAGGACAAAGGGGUUCACAAACUGUGUGACGCAUACUUUAAAUUUACUCAUAAAAGAGGCUCUUCAGCAAAACGCUGUGUUGUCUGACAUCCGGGCUAACUCUAGGAAGAUGGUGGGCUAUUUCCAGAGCAGCACCACAGUGAAGGAGAAGCUGACACAGGUGCAGGAGCGAAUGGGCCGGCCGGUACUGAAGCUUAUUCAAGAGGUGGAUACACGCUGGAACAGCACAUACCACAUGCUCCAGUGUGUGUAUGACCUCAGGGAACCUGUAGGAGCAGCUUUGGCCGGCCUAUGCACUGAUGUUGCCCCACGGUCAUCAGAGCACUAGGCAAUUAUGGCAGAAUAGCUGUCAGAGGAGAAGAGUGUCUGGAUCAAAGGUCCUUCCCCUUUUAUCCAGCUACACCACUCCCUAGAGGAGGAGGAAUGGGGAGUUGUCCAGACUCCAGAGAGAACAGAAAUGGCUGAGAGUCUGAGGAAACAUUUAAGGGAGAAGCUGUACACUUUACAAUCAAUGAGCAUCGUGUCCCUGGUGACUCUUCUCGAUCCAAGAUUAAAAGAGAUAGGCUUCUUUAGCGCUAAUAAAGAUGCCGUGACAAGGCUCACUAUUGGAUGUGCUGCUGUUAUUGGAAACAGUGCGUCCUCCUCAUCACAACCACACACAUCAGAAUCUUCUCAGCCUGUGACUCAAGGUAAUGGAUCCUGGAUACAUUCUAAUUGUGUUAUUGUAUUGAGUCACUUACAGCCGGUUUGUCUGUCUUGGGUAGCACAAAUGUCACGACUGACGCAAAAGGAGAGGUCCAGCUGUACCUGGCUGAACCAGACAUAGGAAAAAUGGAGAAUCCCCGAGACUAUAGUAAACAAAAAAGAAUUUAUUUCCUAACUUGUACAAACUUGCGGUAGCUUUUCUUUGUACCCCAGCUUCAUCUGUGCCCUGUGAAAGGAUCUUGUCUAAAGCAGGCGAAAUUAUUUCUAAAAAAAAAGAAACCGCCUGAAACCCAGCACUGUUUAAAAGCUCUGGUUUUUAAAUAAAAAUGAAUAAACUG
Pleuronectes platessa (European plaice) is the source of this 1509-nucleotide long non-coding RNA. RefSeq lists it as uncharacterized. The record is from RefSeq and is a predicted model, not a curated record. NCBI's taxonomy places the organism in Eukaryota, Metazoa, Chordata, Actinopteri, Pleuronectiformes, Pleuronectidae. The transcript has 4 exons.